RNAcentral lists this ribosomal RNA (506 nucleotides) under uncultured bacterium. Its description in RNAcentral is "partial 16S ribosomal RNA". It matches the Rfam family "Bacterial small subunit ribosomal RNA", at positions 28 to 523 of the family's 1533-position model. The record is from RNAcentral.
GAUGAACGCUAGCUACAGGCUUAACACAUGCAAGUCGAGGGGUAACGAGAGGAAAGCUUGCUUUCCUUGUCGACGACCGGCGCACGGGGGAGUAACGCGUAUCCAACCUGCCCCCAACUAGGGAAUAACCUUGCGAAAGUAAGACUAAUACCCUAUAAUUUCCUCAGAUGACAUCUGACGAGGAAUAAAGAUUUAUCGGUUGUGGAUGGGGAUGCGUCUGAUUAGCUUGUUGGCGGGGUAACGGCCCACCAAGGCAACGAUCAGUAGGGGUUCUGAGAGGAAGGGCCCCCAAAUUGGAACUAGGACCGGGUUCAAACUCCUUCGGGAGGAAUCAGGGAGGAAUAUUGGGCAAUGGUCGGAAGCCUGAACCAGCAAAGUAACGUGCGGGAUGACGGACCUAUGGGUUGUAAACUGCUUUUAUACAGGAAUAAAGUUAGCCACGUGUGGUUAUUUGUAGGUACUGUAUGAAUAAGGACCGGCUAAUUCCGUGCCAGCCGCCGCAGUAA